RNAcentral lists this ribosomal RNA (433 nucleotides) under uncultured bacterium. RNAcentral describes it as "partial 16S ribosomal RNA". It matches the Rfam family "Bacterial small subunit ribosomal RNA", at positions 29 to 507 of the family's 1533-position model. The record is from RNAcentral.
AACGAACGCUGGCGGCAUGCCUAACACAUGCAAGUCGAACGAUGCCUUCGGGUCUAGUGGCGCACGGGUGCGUAACGCGUGGGAAUCUGCCCUUGGGUUCGGAAUAACAGUUGGAAACGACUGCUAAUACCGGAUGAUGACGUAAGUCCAAAGAUUUAUCGCCCAGGGAUGAGCCCGCGUAGGAUUAGCUAGUUGGUGGGGUAAAGGCCUACCAAGGCGACGAUCCUUAGCUGGUCUGAGAGGAUGAUCAGCCACACUGGGACUGAGACACGGCCCAGACUCAUACGGGAGGCAGCAGGGGGGAAUAUUGGACAAUGGGCGAAAGCCUGAUCCAGCAAUGCCGCGUGAGUGAUGAAGGCCUUAGGGUUGUAAAGCUCUUUUACCCGGGAUGAUAAUGACAGUACCGGGAGAAUAAGCCCCGGCUAACUCCGUG